CCUACGGGCGGCUGCAGUGGGGAAUAUUGCACAAUGGGCGCAAGCCUGAUGCAGCCAUGCCGCGUGUGUGAAGAAGGCCUUCGGGUUGUAAAGCACUUUCAGCGGGGAGGAAGGCGGUGAGGUUAAUAACCUCAUCGAUUGACGUUACCCGCAGAAGAAGCACCGGCUAACUCCGUGCCAGCAGCCGCGGUAAUACGGAGGGUGCAAGCGUUAAUCGGAAUUACUGGGCGUAAAGCGCACGCAGGCGGUCUGUCAAGUCGGAUGUGAAAUCCCCGGGCUCAACCUGGGAACUGCAUUCGAAACAGGCAGGCUAGAGUCUUGUAGAGGGGGGUAGAAUUCCAGGUGUAGCGGUGAAAUGCGUAGAGAUCUGGAGGAAUACCGGUGGCGAAGGCGGCCCCCUGGACAAAGACUGACGCUCAGGUGCGAAAGCGUGGGGAGCAAACAGGAUUAGAUACCCGGGUAGUC
Molecule: ribosomal RNA, 465 nt
Filed under: uncultured Klebsiella sp.
Lineage: Bacteria; Pseudomonadati; Pseudomonadota; Gammaproteobacteria; Enterobacterales; Enterobacteriaceae
Description: bacterial SSU rRNA
Rfam family: Bacterial small subunit ribosomal RNA
Source: RNAcentral